This 1281-nucleotide unclassified non-coding RNA is filed under the name Hevea brasiliensis (rubber tree). Lineage: Eukaryota; Viridiplantae; Streptophyta; Magnoliopsida; Malpighiales; Euphorbiaceae. The record is from RNAcentral.
AAGCAAAAAAAAAAAAAAAAAAGAUACUAUUAUGAGAAAAAAAAAUUACAGAAAAAGACAUCUAAAGCCACCCUCAACUAAAAACUUCAUAGAAUUUCUCAAUGACAAGUAAACCUGAGUCAAUUGACUCCAAUGGAUCCUUCCUAAGACGGUGUCUUAAACAGUUGGGGAUGACAGUAGCAAUAUCCUCUGCUGUGACAUUAUCUCUACCCUUCAGAGCAGCAAGAGCUUUUGCAGCUCUGUUAGUCACAAUGUCCCCUCUCAAUCCAUCCACAUUCAGCUCUGCACAAACCUUGGAGAUUUUUACCUUGAGAUCAUGAUCUAUCUGCACACAAGAAAGAGACGUUCUAGCUGAAGCAAUCUGUUGCUGUAGCUUCUCUUGCUCUGCCUUGUAAGAAUCACGGAAUUCUUUUGGGUUUUUAUCAAACCGAGCUCUUUCUUCCACUAUCUUCACUCUGAGCUCUGCAUCUUUCACUGUUCCUACUUGUGCAUGCAUCCCAAAUCUAUCAAGUAGCUGUGGCCUGAGCUCCCCCUCUUCAGGAUUGCCAGAGCCAAUCAAAAUAAACCGUGCAGGAUGUGAAAUUGAAAUACCCUCUCUUUCCACAGUGUUCCAUCCUGAGGCAGCAGAAUCCAAAAGAACAUCCACUAAGUGGUCAUCCAAAAGGUUAACUUCAUCCACAUAAAGAAUCCCUCUAUUAGCUUUAGCAAGAAGGCCAGGCUCAAAUGCCUUGACACCCUCUGUGAGAGCCUUUUCAAUGUCAAUUGUACCGCAAACCCUAUCCUCUGUAGCACCUAACGGCAAAUCAACCAUAUUAAUCUUGGCAAGCACAACUUGAAGCUCCUCCCCUUUCAUGAUGCUCUCCCUGACUUCUACACCCAUGGACUCUGGAUCUCCUGGAUCUGAGUUAUAAGGAUCACCGAAAACUACCUUAAUUUCAGGAAGUAAAUCCACCAGGGACCUAACAGUAGUAGACUUCCCUGUUCCUCUAUCACCCAUAAUCAUGACACCUCCAAUCUUGGGAUCAAUCACAUUUAACAGAAGGCACAGUUUCACCUCAUCCUGUCCUACUAGAGCAGCAAACGGAUACACUCCACUGAGAACUAUUCAUUAUUCAUGCUAUGCGCAAUUGCUCAUUUUCUUACAAAGAAAGUUAUCUUCAAUUGAUGCAAUUUAUACUUUUACCUUUCAGCAAGUCUUUCUAAGUAAUGUAUUAUUUCAUGGCCAUAACACAGCUCCCACGCACAAACACACAUAUAUAUAACGAGGAUAAAAUAAAGAAA